RNAcentral lists this small nuclear RNA (106 nucleotides) under Neotoma lepida (desert woodrat). Lineage: Eukaryota; Metazoa; Chordata; Mammalia; Rodentia; Cricetidae. The record is from RNAcentral.
GUGCUAACUUUGGCAGCACAUAUAUUAAAAUUGGAACAUAACAAAGAAGAUUAUCAUGGUCCUUGCACAUGCAUGUGCACAAAUUCAUGUAGCNUUUCAUAUUUUU